CCUGCGAUGGCUGAGUGGUUAAGGUGUUGGACUUGAAAUCUAAUAGGGUUUCCCCAUGCAGGUUCAAAUCCUGCUUGUAGCG
Megalops atlanticus (tarpon) is the source of this 82-nucleotide non-coding RNA. Lineage: Eukaryota; Metazoa; Chordata; Actinopteri; Elopiformes; Megalopidae. The record is from the annotation of a GenBank genome assembly.